GGAUUCCUUAUCUUCCUCUAGGAAGAGCUGCAUUCAAUGUUUGGAGUACUUUUAUAAGCCAACUUGGAACUCUACCAAGAACUUCCUCGAAGGAUGUCGUGGAUCACUUUCAUACUGAGUGACCAUCCUGAUACUUGUGACUGGAGUAAUGACAUACCCAGACACAAGUGAAUGUAUGGAGGGAUUCGCUCCAUUUGAUUCACUCUGGGGUUUUUGACAAAAUGUCUUCAUCAGAACAACCUACCUCUAUGGAAAUACCUUUUCAAGAUACAAACAAAUGAGGAGUGAUGUGUAAAGAUGGCUGACUUGAAGGACCAUUUAUGAAUGGAAACCAUCUUAUACUUUCAAGAGGAAGAGGCUUGACAUUCAUGGUGCAGUCACUUAUAGAAUGACUGCUUUCCUACUUCUGCAGGGAUGAAGCCUGCCUCAAAGGAAAGUUUCUAAGAGGCCAGGAAAGAAUUCAGGAGAAAGGAAACAGCAGGAAGACCCUGUAUUUCUCUGCAGAUCAGCAGGACUGCUUGCCAACACCAACAUCGCAAUGUUUCAGAGCCCAAUUUUCCAUAUUUUGAAACGGCUUGCAGCGAUUCCACGGAGCGAGUCAAUCUGCCAUCAACGGGGGCUUUUCUGUUUGUGGCUAAACUUUCUAUUCUGUGGCACCUCAGCUAAAUGGUGAAGGUUUAACUUUUUGAAAAUAAAUAAAAAAUGAUGGUGACUCAUA
Molecule: long non-coding RNA, 718 nt
Filed under: Mus musculus (house mouse)
Lineage: Eukaryota; Metazoa; Chordata; Mammalia; Rodentia; Muridae
Description: predicted gene 16311 (Gm16311)
Source: RNAcentral